This 258-nucleotide long non-coding RNA is filed under the name Cotesia glomerata. Its description in RNAcentral is "uncharacterized LOC123272864, transcript variant X1". The record is from RNAcentral. Lineage: Eukaryota; Metazoa; Arthropoda; Insecta; Hymenoptera; Braconidae.
AUUUCCUAUACCCGCGCAUUCUCGUCCAUUUGUUGACACUGCUGCCUGUGUAAAACAACAGUAAUUAUGUCUGAAUCACUGAUGAAUUUUUUAAUUGAAGUUUCUUCUUCUUCUGUCAAUAUCUUCAAAAAUACGACACAAGCGGUGAUGAUAAGAAUGAAAAGAGCAAAUGCAAUGAAUCCGCCGGCUACUAAUUUUUUCGAGAGACUGAGAAAAAUAGGAAUUAUUAUUGUACAAGUGUAGAAGAAUAGAUUAAUA